Molecule: ribosomal RNA, 275 nt
Filed under: uncultured bacterium
Lineage: Bacteria
Description: partial 16S ribosomal RNA
Rfam family: Bacterial small subunit ribosomal RNA
Source: RNAcentral
CCGUUGCCGGCGACCGGCGCACGGGUGAGUAACACGUAUGCAACCUGCCCGUGGCAGGGGGAUAAGCGGGGGAAACCCCGUCUAAUACCGCGUAACGCGGCCUAGGGACAUCCCAAGGCCGCCAAAGGGAGCAAUCCCGGCCACGGAUGGGCAUGCGGCGCAUUAGCUAGUCGGCGGGGUAACGGCCCACCGAGGCGACGAUGCGUAGGGGUUCUGAGAGGAGGCCCCCCACACUGGUACUGAGACACGGACCAGACUCCUACGGGAGGCAGCAG